RNAcentral lists this ribosomal RNA (483 nucleotides) under uncultured bacterium. Its description in RNAcentral is "partial 16S ribosomal RNA". It matches the Rfam family "Bacterial small subunit ribosomal RNA", at positions 28 to 507 of the family's 1533-position model. The record is from RNAcentral.
GACGAACGCUGGCGGCGUGCUUAACACAUGCAAGUCGAACGCUGAAGCUCAGCUUUUGUUGGGUGGAUGAGUGGCGAACGGGUGAGUAACACGUGAGUAACCUGCCCCCUUCUUUGGGAUAACGCCCGGAAACGGGUGCUAAUACUGGAUAUUCACUGGUCUUCGCAUGGGGGUUGGUGGAAAGGGUUUUUCUGGUGGGGGAUGGGCUCGCGGCCUAUCAGCUUGUUGGUGGGGUGAUGGCCUACCAAGGCUUUGACGGGUAGCCGGCCUGAGAGGGUGACCGGUAACAUGGGGACUGAGAUACGGCCCAGACUCCUACGGGAGGCGGCAGUGGGGAAUAUUGCACAAUGGGCGCAAGCCUGAUGCAGCGACGCCGCGUGAGGGAUGGAGGCCUUCGGGUUGUGAACCUCUUUCGCUCAUGGUCAAGCCGCAACAAUGGUUGUGGUGAGGGUAGUGGGUAAAGAAGCGCCGGCUAACUACGUG